CCCACUCUCAAAUGAGGUCCUCAGUGCUGACAACAGGAGAGGUUCCAGUGGCUAGGGGCCAAGUGAUGCUGAUGGCUGGAGACCAAAGGAACUGGCAAGAAGAAGACACAUCCCUUCAGGCUGCUUGGAAGGGAAUUUGGAUGUAAAAUAACCAGGAUUGCCCCUGGAGCCCCUUUCAAGAAGGAUGCCCUACUGGCCAUCUUUUGUUGCCUUGGUGAAUCCCUCAGGAGGAUGCUACAGCUGCCAUCAGCCCCUGCACGACUGUCCCUUGCUGGCUCAGGAACUUCAGCCUUGGUCACAUCUCUUCCUUUGGUCAGAGCUGCACGAAGGACAGAGUUUUGAAGUAAUUGUAUAUUGUACCAAUACUUAAAAGUCCUGUCUUCAUUCCUCCCUUCCUUUGGUGUGUGAGUCAUUCCAGCAAACCUAUCGUGCUUUAAAUUAAUUGGGUCUUGGAAGGGGACAGAGAUAAUGAGCCAUUCCAGGACGGCAUUUCUUAAAAGCCAGGGGAUGUACAGCACAGGGGAGGGUGCUGCCUGAGCCUUCCUCACCUUGUCAAACAUAUCCAGCUCUUUCCUGAGCGUGUGGCAGGGUCUGUGCAGUGUCUGACAGCUGCUGGCCUCCACUCCAGACCCCUCUGAAGGGAAGCUGCUCUGACAAAGCUCUGCUUGCAGAACUAGAGCUGGGCUCAGACCCUGGGAGAGCUGUGUGAGUUUUGAACUGCUCAGCAAAGGUUGUUGUGAGUUCAGUGCAGUGGGGGUGUGAGUGUGGGUGGCACACGGUCCCACCUGUAUGUGGGGUUGUCUCUGCUCACUGUUCCUGUACCUCAAAGAAGCUCUGGCUGGUGCCCCUGCAGAGUGAGCUGCAGGCAGGGAUGAAGGAAUUAAUAUUCUUGAUAACAGCCUCCAUGCACAACACACACACAGAGUGACUUCCCCCUCCCACUCUUUGUCAAGAUCCUUUCAUUAGCAAAGAGUUUUCUGUUAAGGAAAACAGGAUUUUAUUGGGUUUUGUUUGUUUGUUUAUUUGUUUUUCUGUCUUGGCUACCACACAAGGGGAGGAGAACCACCUACUAAAAAGAAAACACUGUACAGAGUGUUCAAGGCUCAGAGGCUUCUGAAGCUGAGAGUUCACCCCAGCAAAGGACAAUGAAAUGGAUGGGUCUAGCUCCCACACAGAUAGGCUGCACCAAAGCAAAGGGCAGAGUUUGAUGGGCCAAGCCAUGGCCAGGCUGGAGCACUCAGAGCUGGCAGGACAGCACAGGUAGGAGCAGGCUGUCACUGCUGCCUGCUAGGGUUUCACAUCCCACUGAAAAUCAGGGGGCCAGCAAUCAGACAGGAAUUGGG
RNAcentral lists this long non-coding RNA (1343 nucleotides) under Junco hyemalis (dark-eyed junco). RNAcentral describes it as "lncRNA (ENSJHYG00000000209.1)". The record is from RNAcentral. Lineage: Eukaryota; Metazoa; Chordata; Aves; Passeriformes; Passerellidae.